Molecule: ribosomal RNA, 1268 nt
Filed under: Perittopus sp. HL-2012
Lineage: Eukaryota; Metazoa; Arthropoda; Insecta; Hemiptera; Veliidae
Description: 16S ribosomal RNA
Rfam family: Microsporidia small subunit ribosomal RNA (bases 1-201)
Source: RNAcentral
AAGUAUUGAUGGGUUACAUUUAUUUUAAUAAUGGAUUAUUAUUUGUAAUUAUUAAUAUGAAAUUGGAUUUAGGUGUAAUUUUUUUUAAAUUAUAGAUUUGAUUUUAGUUCUAAAUUAUGUACACAUCGCCCGUCACUCUCAUUUUAAGUUGAGAUAAGUCGUAACAAAGUAGGCCUACCGGAAGGUGGGCCUGGUAAGUUCAAAUUAUUCCUAAGUGGAUUUAUUAUUUACAUUAAUGAUUUUGUUGUGCGAUUCAAUAUAAUUUGAUAAUUUUUUAUUAUUGUUUUUUUGUUUGUUUUUUAAUAAAAUUAAUUUGUUUUUUAGUAUCUUUUUGAAUUAAUAUUAUUUUAUUAUAGUUAAUAGAACUGUUAAGGUUUUUAUUUAUUAUAUAAGAAGAACUUUUUUGAGGUACCUUUUGCAUCAGGGUCUAUUAAUUUAUUUAAUUUACUUUUUUUUCUCGAAAUCUUAAGAUUUAAUUGAAUAUGUUUUUUAUUGUGACAAAAAUAUUUAUAAUUUUCAUUUAGAGGUGAAAUGCUUUUCAAUUAAGAUUAUAUCUAGUUUAUUAAUAAAUAAAUUUAAUUUAGCUUUAAUUAUGAUUUAUUUAAAUUUUAUUAUUUAGAUUAUUUUAAAGUAAGAUUGUUGGGGAUAAUCUUGACUUUUUUUUUAUAAGUUGUUUUUUUAAGAUUUUUUUUAGAAUUGAAAAUUUUCUUUUUUAUUUUGUUAUAAUUAUUUAUUUUUCUGUAAUAAUUUUUUUUUACUUUAAUUUUUUAUUAAUAAUUUUUUAUUAAUUUUUUUUAAAAUUUAUAAUGAUAGAAUUAGUAAUUUUUUUAAUUUAUUUAUUGUAAUUCGGCAAAUAUAAUUUUCACCUGUUUAACAAAAACAUGGUUUGUUGAUAUUAAUUUUAGAUCGAGCCUGCCCGUUGAUUUUAUUGAAAGGCUGCGGUAUUUUAACUGUACGAAGGUAGCAUAAUCACUUGUCUUUUAAUUGGAGGCUAGAAUGAAUGGUUUGAUGAAAUAUUAUCUUUCUUUAAAUAAUUAUUUUGAAUUUUAUUUUUUAAUUAAAAAGUUGAGAUUUUUUUAUAGGACGAGAAGACCCUAUAGAAAUUUAUUAUUUUGUUUAUAUAAUUUUUUUUGUUUAUUGUAAUUUUUAUUUAUGAAAUAAUUUUGUUGGGGCGACAGUGAAAUUUAAUUAACUUUUAUUUUUUUUUUCAUUAAUUUAUGUUUUUUUGAUCCAGAUUUUUUUGAUUAUAAGAUUAAUUUACCUUAGGG